GUCGUGGUAGCUCAGCUGGAUAGAGCUUCCGCCUUCUAAGCGGACGGUCUUGGGUUCGAGUCCCAACCACGACGCCA
Molecule: transfer RNA, 77 nt
Filed under: Erysipelotrichaceae bacterium
Lineage: Bacteria; Bacillati; Bacillota; Erysipelotrichia; Erysipelotrichales; Erysipelotrichaceae
Also listed under: 1 other name
Description: tRNA-Arg
Rfam family: tRNA
About the family: Transfer RNA (tRNA) molecules are approximately 80 nucleotides in length. Their secondary structure includes four short double-helical elements and three loops (D, anti-codon, and T loops). Further hydrogen bonds mediate the characteristic L-shaped molecular structure. tRNAs have two regions of fundamental functional importance: the anti-codon, which is responsible for specific mRNA codon recognition, and the 3' end, to which the tRNAs corresponding amino acid is attached (by aminoacyl-tRNA synthetases). tRNAs cope with the degeneracy of the genetic code in two manners: having more than one tRNA (with a specific anti-codon) for a particular amino acid; and 'wobble' base-pairing, i.e. permitting non-standard base-pairing at the 3rd anti-codon position.
Source: RNAcentral